RNAcentral lists this unclassified non-coding RNA (376 nucleotides) under uncultured bacterium. RNAcentral's name for it is "contains 16S-23S intergenic spacer region". The record is from RNAcentral.
UCCCCGUUCACCGGGGCAGUCCCCUCAGAGUGCCCGGCUUCACCCGGUAGCAACAGAGGGCGAGGGUUGCGCUCGUUGCGGCACUUAAGCCAACACCUCACGGCACGAGCUGACGACAGCCAUGCAGCACCUGUGCUAGCCCCUUACGGACACGCGCUUUCACGCGCUUUAACUAGCAUGUCAAGCCUAGGUAAGGUUCUUCGCGUUGCGUCGAAUUAAACCACAUGCUCCACCGCUUGUGCGGGCCCCCGUCAAUUCCUUUAUGUUUUAGUCUUGCGACCGUACUCCACAGGCGGGAUACUUAACGCGUUAGCUUCGCUACUGUAGGGGUCGAUACCUCCAACAGCUAGUAUCCAUCGUUUACGGCGUGGACUAC